This 460-nucleotide ribosomal RNA is filed under the name uncultured bacterium. RNAcentral's name for it is "partial 16S ribosomal RNA". It matches the Rfam family "Bacterial small subunit ribosomal RNA", at positions 338 to 795 of the family's 1533-position model. The record is from RNAcentral.
CCUACGGGCGACAGCAGUGAGGAAUAUUGGUCAAUGGACGAGAGUCUGAACCAGCCAAGUAGCGUGAAGGAUGACUGCCCUAUGGGUUGUAAACUUCUUUUAUAAAGGAAUAAAACGAGGCACGUGUGCCUUUUUGCAUGUACUUUAUGAAUAAGGAUCGGCUAAAUCCGUGCCAGCAGCCGCGGUAAUACGGGGGGUCCGAGCGUUAUCCGGAUUUUUUGGGUUUAAAGGGAGCGUAGAUGGGUUGUUAAGUCAGUUGUGAAAGUUUGGGGCUCAACCGUAAAAUUGCAAUUGAUACUGGCAGUCUUGAGUACAGUUGAGGUAGGCGGAAUUCGUGGUGUAGCGGUGAAAUGCUUAGAUAUCACGAAGAACCCCGAUUGCGAAGGCAGCUUACUAAACUGUGACUGACAUUGAUGCUCGAAAGUGUGGGUAUCAAACAGGAUUAGAUACCCUAGUAGUC